CAAGGAUUAAGCCAUGCAAGUGUCAGAGUGAGCAAGGUCACCAGAGCGAGUCUGUGAAUGGCUCAUUACAUCAGUCACAAUCAAACCCGGAGAGAGAGAGGGUACCUCCUGAGGGACCCAGCCAUGUGGAUACCUGUUUUAACAAGGCAGCUAAUACAUGUCGGAGGAGACAUCCACAGACCCUGCAACCUUGCUUGCCUGGGUGGUCACGGUUGUAUGAUCCCAACCAUUGUGACCCUUGUGGGUGUUGCGAUGUACCGCUACCAACAGAGCAAUGCCUAGCGGCAGUGUGUCUUGUUGACCCAGGUGCAUUGUGUGUUUGAAAUGCUUGCAGAGUCAUUAGCAAUGUGGUUCAAUUCCUUGUUCCACUGCAGUUCUGGAGGAGUCUCUGUCCUAUCAGCUGUAGAUCGUGUGAAAGAGUCCCGCAAUGGCCUUAACGGGUGACGGAAAACCAGGGUUUGAUUCCGGAGAGGGAGCCUGAGAGACGGCUACCACAGCCAAGGAUGGCAGCAGGCGCGCAAAUUGCCCAAUAUCAACGCAAGUGAUGAGGCAGCAACAAAGAAUGACAACCUGUCUCGGAUUCUUCCUAACAGGUUUGUGAUGGAUGUUACCCAAAUCAAACAGUGAGUAUCAACUUGUGGGCAAGUCUGGUGCCAGCAGCCGCGGUAAUUCCAGCAUGAGAAGUGUAUACCAACAUUGCUGCUGUUAAAAAGCUCGUAGUUGUCCGCUGGGGCUCAGGUGUCACCACUGGGGUGUGCAUGCAGAAGCAACCUGUUGCCCUGUGUCCACCCUGGGGUUUCUCUCCUGACCCCGCCAAAACAUGGAUCCGAUGUCCCUGCAUGGGGCACCCUUGACUCUGGGUGCCACUGCUGCUGUCGCAUGCGACUCAUGUCAGCAGAAGGGUGAGCAAUCACUCAGGGGACCGUCCAUGGCUGUUACCAUGAACAAAACAGCACGCCCAAGGUGGCUUACAUGUAGGUGGAAUGUCCCAGCAUGGAAUGACAAGUGAUCGAUCAGAGGUGCAGUGUUCUAUUGGUCUUAUCGCACAUCAUGAGAAGGUACUGUGCUCUACCACCAGACCCUGUCUGUGUGUGUGACACAGCUUGCGGAAGCAAUGGAAGAGCUCAAGGCUGUGUGUAUUAAGUGGCGAGAGGUGAAAUUCUUAGACCCACUUGAGACGAUCCGAGGCAAAUGCGUUUGGCAGUGUCAACUUCACCAAUCAAGAACGAGAGUGUGGGGAACAAAGAUGAUCAGAUACCGUUGUAGUCCACUGGCUGUAAACCAUGCCAGCUCGGUGUUGGUGUUGGAGCUUGAUCUGCUACCACAUCAGCACCCACUCCCCCUCCAUCGAGAAAUCCAAGCCUAUGGGUUCAGGGGGGAGUACCCUUGCAAGAGGGAAACUUAAAGGAAUUGACGGAAUGACACCACAAGGUGUGGAGUCUGCGGCUUAAUUUGACUCAACACGGGGAAUGUUACCAAGACAGCACAAGGUGAGGAUGGACAGACUGAUAGAUCUUUCUUGAUCUCUUGGACGGUGGUGCAUGGCCGCUUCUGGUUGGUGGAGUGAUUUGUCUGGCUGAUUCCGUUAACGAGCGAGAUCAAGGCUUCUUAUUGGAUGCUGGCCUCGUUUUAGGGUGUGUCUACUGCAUGGCCUUGGCUGUGAGGUAUGCCCACCUGAGAGAGCCAUGACCCAUCUCAGAG
Molecule: ribosomal RNA, 1701 nt
Filed under: Neometanema sp.
Lineage: Eukaryota; Euglenozoa; Anisonemea; Natomonadida; Neometanemidae
Description: SSU rRNA
Rfam family: Eukaryotic small subunit ribosomal RNA
Source: RNAcentral